AUUGAACGCGGGCGGCAGGCUUAACACAUGCAAGUCGAGCGGGGGAAGGUAGCUUGCUACCGGACCUAGCGGCGGACGGGUGAGUAAUGCUUAGGAAUCUGCCUAUUAGUGGGGGACGACAUCUCGAAAGGGAUGCUAAUACCGCAUACGUCCUACGGGAGAAAGCAGGGGAUCUUCGGACCUUGCGCUAAUAGAUGAGCCUAAGUCGGAUUAGCUAGUUGGUGGGGUAAAGGCCUACCAAGGCGACGAUCUGUAGCGGGUCUGAGAGGAUGAUCCGCCACACUGGGACUGAGACACGGCCCAGACUCCUACGGGAGGCAGCAGUGGGGAAUAUUGGACAAUGGGGGGAACCCUGAUCCAGCCAUGCCGCGUGUGUGAAGAAGGCCUUAUGGUUGUAAAGCACUUUAAGCGAGGAGGAGGCUACUUUAGUUAAUACCUAGAGAUAGUGGACGUUACUCGCAGAAUAAGCACCGGCUAACUCUGUGCCAGCCGCCGCUGUAA
Molecule: ribosomal RNA, 501 nt
Filed under: uncultured bacterium
Lineage: Bacteria
Description: partial 16S ribosomal RNA
Rfam family: Bacterial small subunit ribosomal RNA
Source: RNAcentral